Molecule: ribosomal RNA, 242 nt
Filed under: uncultured bacterium
Lineage: Bacteria
Description: partial 16S ribosomal RNA
Rfam family: Bacterial small subunit ribosomal RNA
Source: RNAcentral
UAUUUCCUACGGGGGGCAGCAGUGGGGAAUAUUGCACAAUGGGGGAAACCCUGAUGCAGCAACGCCGCGUGAGUGAAGAAGUCAUUCGUGAUGUAAAGCUCUAUCAGCAGGGAAGAAAAUGACGGUACCUGAGUAAGAAGCCCCGGCUAACUACGUGCCAGCAGCCGCGGUCAUACGUAGGGGGCAAGCGUUAUCCGGAUUUACUGGGUGUAAAGGGAGCGUAAACGGCCAGACACGUCUGA